CCUUCGAUAGCUCAGUUGGUAGAGCGGUGGACUGUAGAAGUUAAAUUCAACAAUGUGUAGAAAUCCAUAGGUCACUGGUUCAAAUCCGGUUCGAAGGA
Molecule: transfer RNA, 98 nt
Filed under: Lucilia cuprina (Australian sheep blowfly)
Lineage: Eukaryota; Metazoa; Arthropoda; Insecta; Diptera; Calliphoridae
Description: tRNA-Tyr for anticodon GUA
Rfam family: tRNA
About the family: Transfer RNA (tRNA) molecules are approximately 80 nucleotides in length. Their secondary structure includes four short double-helical elements and three loops (D, anti-codon, and T loops). Further hydrogen bonds mediate the characteristic L-shaped molecular structure. tRNAs have two regions of fundamental functional importance: the anti-codon, which is responsible for specific mRNA codon recognition, and the 3' end, to which the tRNAs corresponding amino acid is attached (by aminoacyl-tRNA synthetases). tRNAs cope with the degeneracy of the genetic code in two manners: having more than one tRNA (with a specific anti-codon) for a particular amino acid; and 'wobble' base-pairing, i.e. permitting non-standard base-pairing at the 3rd anti-codon position.
Source: Rfam by way of RNAcentral